UAGGGAAUAUUGGACAAUGGGGGCAACCCUGAUCCAGCCAUGCCGCGUGAGUGAAGAAGGCCCUCGGGUUGUAAAGCUCUUUUGUCCGGAAAGAAAAGCUUCGGGUUAAUACCCCGGGGUUCUGACGGUACCGGAAGAAUAAGCACCGGCUAACUUCGUGCCAGCAGCCGCGGUAAUACGAAGGGUGCAAGCGUUACUCGGAAUUACUGGGCGUAAAGAGUGCGUGGGUGGUUGUUUAAGUCUGAUGUGAAAGCCCUGGGCUCAACCUGGGAAUGGCAUUGGAAACUGGGCAGCUAGAGUGCGGUAGAGGGUAGUGGAAUUCCCGGUGUAGCAGUGAAAUGCGUAGAGAUCGGGAGGAACAUCAGUGGCGAAGGCGACUGCCUGGACCAGCACUGACACUGAGGCACGAAAGCGUGGGGAGCAAACA
This 427-nucleotide ribosomal RNA is filed under the name uncultured bacterium. Its description in RNAcentral is "bacterial SSU rRNA". It matches the Rfam family "Bacterial small subunit ribosomal RNA", at positions 355 to 774 of the family's 1533-position model. The record is from RNAcentral.